Molecule: ribosomal RNA, 373 nt
Filed under: uncultured bacterium
Lineage: Bacteria
Description: bacterial SSU rRNA
Rfam family: Bacterial small subunit ribosomal RNA
Source: RNAcentral
ACGAAGGUGGCGAGCGUUGUUCGGAUUCACUGGGCAUAAAGGGCGCGUAGGCGGUGCCGCAAGCGGCGUGUGAAAUUCCGGGGCUCAACCCCGGAACGGCGCGCUGGACUGCGGUGCUCGAGUGCGGGAGGGGGGUGCGGAACUCUAGGUGGAGCGGUGAAAUGCGUAGAUAUCUAGAGGAACACCGGUGGCGAAAGCGACACCCUGGCCCGCAACUGACGCUGAGGCGCGAAAGCGUGGGUAGCAAACAGGAUUAGAUACCCUGGUAGUCCACGCCGUAAACGAUGAGCACUAGGUAGCCGUCGGAUCCGACCGGGGGCUGCUGAAGGUAAUCCAUUAGGUGCUCCGCCUGGGGAGUAUGGUCGCAAGGCUG